UACGGAGGAGGCAAGCGUUAUCCGGAAUUAUUGGGCGUAAAGCGUCCGCAGGUGGCUAUUCAAGUCUGCUGUCAAAGACCGGGGCUUAACUUCGGAAAGGCAGUGGAAACUGAACAGCUAGAGUAUGGUAGGGGCAGAGGGAAUUCCUGGUGUAGCGGUGAAAUGCGUAGAGAUCAGGAAGAACAUCGGUGGCGAAGGCGCUCUGCUGGACCAUAACUGACACUCAGGGACGAAAGCUAGGGGAGCGAAUGGG
RNAcentral lists this ribosomal RNA (253 nucleotides) under uncultured bacterium. RNAcentral's name for it is "partial 16S ribosomal RNA". It matches the Rfam family "Bacterial small subunit ribosomal RNA", at positions 524 to 776 of the family's 1533-position model. The record is from RNAcentral.